UUGGGCACUCUAAGGUGACUGCCGGCUAAAAGUCGGAGGAAGGUGGGAUGACGUCAAAUCAUCAUGCCCCUUAUGACCUGGGCUACACACGUGCUACAAUGGGCGGUACAAAGGGUCGCGAACCCGCGAGGGGGAGCCAAUCCCAAAAAGCCGCUCUCAGUUCGGAUUGCAGGCUGCAACUCGCCUGCAUGAGGCCGGAAUCGCUAGUAAUCGCGGAUCAGCAUGCCGCGGUGAAUACGUUCCCGGGCCUUGU
Molecule: ribosomal RNA, 253 nt
Filed under: uncultured Anoxybacillus sp.
Lineage: Bacteria; Bacillati; Bacillota; Bacilli; Caryophanales; Anoxybacillaceae
Description: partial 16S ribosomal RNA
Rfam family: Bacterial small subunit ribosomal RNA
Source: RNAcentral